This 241-nucleotide ribosomal RNA is filed under the name uncultured bacterium. RNAcentral's name for it is "partial 16S ribosomal RNA". It matches the Rfam family "Bacterial small subunit ribosomal RNA", at positions 335 to 572 of the family's 1533-position model. The record is from RNAcentral.
ACUACCUACGGGAGGCAGCAGUGAGGAAUAUUGGUCAAUGGGCGGGAGCCUGAACCAGCCAAGCCGCGUGAAGGAAGAAGGCGCCAGGCGUCGUAAACUUCUUUUGUCGGGGAACAAAGGGCGCCACGCGCGGCGUUGUGAGUGUACCCGAAGAAAAAGCAUCGGCUAACUCCGUGCCAGCAGCCGCGGUAAUACGGAGGAUGGGAGCGUUAUCCGGAGUUAUUGGGUUUAAAGGGCGCGU